UACAGAGGUCUCAAGCGUUGUUCGGAUUCAUUGGGCGUAAAGGGUGCGUAGGCGGCGCGGUAAGUCGGGUGUGAAAUCUUGGAGCUUAACUCCGAAACUGCAUUCGAUACUGCCGUGCUGGAGUGUGGGAGAGGUGCGUGGAAUUCCCGGUGUAGCGGUGAAAUGCGCAGAUAUCAGGAGGAACACCGGUGGCGAAGGCGGGUCUCUGGGCCGAAAUUGACGCUGAGGAGCGAAAGCGUGGGGAGCAAACAGG
This 253-nucleotide ribosomal RNA is filed under the name uncultured bacterium. Its description in RNAcentral is "partial 16S ribosomal RNA". It matches the Rfam family "Bacterial small subunit ribosomal RNA", at positions 524 to 776 of the family's 1533-position model. The record is from RNAcentral.